Molecule: signal recognition particle RNA, 243 nt
Filed under: Clostridiales bacterium
Lineage: Bacteria; Bacillati; Bacillota; Clostridia; Eubacteriales
Also listed under: 2 other names
Description: signal recognition particle sRNA large type
Rfam family: Bacterial large signal recognition particle RNA
About the family: The signal recognition particle (SRP) is a universally conserved ribonucleoprotein involved in the co-translational targeting of proteins to membranes. Archaeal SRP consists of a 7S RNA and homologues of the eukaryotic SRP19 and SRP54 proteins.
Source: RNAcentral
GCAUAUUAUAUAAAAAGCACCCUGCGAAAUAUCCUUGCAUUUAUCCCGACUUUCCUGUAUAAUAAUAAACACGUUGGGUGUGCGCAUUGUACCUGUAUCGGGUUCUGCGCGAUAAGGUACUGUGAACCAUGUCAGAUUCGGAAGAAAGCAGCAUUAAGCAGUUCACCUUAUGCGCCGCAGUAAGGCCGGAUACAGGUACAAUGCGCGCACCCGAUUAUUAUUUACACAGGAGGUCGCUUAUGC